AGCAGCCGCGGUAAUUCCAGCUCCAAUAGCGUAUAUUAAAGUUGUUGCAGUUAAAAAGCUCGUAGUUGAAUUUCGGGGUUAGUAGGCUGGUCGUGCCAAUGGUAUGUACUGGCUUUACUGAUUCCUCCUUCUUGAAGAACUGUAAUGCCAUUAGUUUGGUGUUGCAGGGAAUCAGGACUGUUACUUUGAAAAAUUGAGUGUUUAAAGCAGGCUUACGCUUGAAUACAUUAGCAUGGAAUAAUGAAAUAGGACGUUGAUUCUAUUUUGUUGGUUUCUAGGAUUGACGUAAUGAUUAAUAGGGAUAGUUGGGGGCAUUAGUAUUCAAUUGUCAGAGGUGAAAUUCUUGGAUUUAUUGAAGACUAACUACUGCGAAAGCAUUUGCCAAGGAUGUUUUCAUUAAUCAAGAACGAAAGUUAGGGGAUCGAAGACGAUCAGAUACCGUCGUAGU
RNAcentral lists this ribosomal RNA (448 nucleotides) under uncultured Glomus. Its description in RNAcentral is "SSU rRNA". It matches the Rfam family "Eukaryotic small subunit ribosomal RNA", at positions 569 to 1024 of the family's 1831-position model. Lineage: Eukaryota; Fungi; Glomeromycota; Glomeromycetes; Glomerales; Glomeraceae. The record is from RNAcentral.